GAUGAACGCUGGCGGCGUGCCUAAUACAUGCGAGUCGAGCGAACGGACGAGAAGCUUGCUUCUCUGAUGUUAGCGGCGGACGGGUGAGUAACACGUGGAUAACCUACCUAUAAGACUGGGAUAACUUCGGGAAACCGGAGCUAAUACCGGAUAAUAUUUUGAACCGCAUGGUUCAAAAGUGAAAGACGGUCUUGCUGUCACUUAUAGAUGGAUCCGCGCUGCAUUAGCUAGUUGGUAAGGUAACGGCUUACCAAGGCAACGAUGCAUAGCCGACCUGAGAGGGUGAUCGGCCACACUGGAACUGAGACACGGUCCAGACUCCUACGGGAGGCAGCAGUAGGGAAUCUUCCGCAAUGGGCGAAAGCCUGACGGAGCAACGCCGCGUGAGUGAUGAAGGUCUUCGGAUCGUAAAACUCUGUUAUUAGGGAAGAACAUAUGUGUAAGAAACUGUGCACAUCUUGACGGUACCUAAUCAGAAAGCCACGGCUAACUACGUG
RNAcentral lists this ribosomal RNA (497 nucleotides) under uncultured bacterium. RNAcentral's name for it is "partial 16S ribosomal RNA". It matches the Rfam family "Bacterial small subunit ribosomal RNA", at positions 28 to 507 of the family's 1533-position model. The record is from RNAcentral.